This 300-nucleotide long non-coding RNA is filed under the name Elaeis guineensis (African oil palm). Its description in RNAcentral is "long non-coding RNA (EGUI_LNC072889)". Lineage: Eukaryota; Viridiplantae; Streptophyta; Magnoliopsida; Arecales; Arecaceae. The record is from RNAcentral.
AGAUGAAGAACGCCUCUAAGAUCACCUCUAAAAAAUUCAAGAUCUGGUACCCAACUAGAUCAGGCCUGAACCGAGGUCGUCCAAUUUCUAUAUCUCAAAUUAGGAUAUUCUAGAUAGGGAAGAAGGUAGAUAGAACCAGACCUUGCAGAUGUGUCCUGCUGUAGCCUUUCCUGUAGAUCUGUUGAUGGAGAUCUCAUCCGUGCCUCAAACAACCUCAGAUCAACUCCAGAUCUGACAAAAACUUGUACCAACCUCUUCUCAAGAGAUUUCAGGUCUUGAACCUGAUAUUUGGGUGGCUGC